Molecule: ribosomal RNA, 500 nt
Filed under: uncultured bacterium
Lineage: Bacteria
Description: partial 16S ribosomal RNA
Rfam family: Bacterial small subunit ribosomal RNA
Source: RNAcentral
ACUCAAAUGAAUUGACGGGGGCCCGCACAAGCGGUGGAACAUGUGGUUUAAUUCGACGCAACGCGAAGAACCUUACCUACCCUUGACAUGCUCGGAAUCUGCCAGAAACGGUGGAGUGCCUUCGGGAACCGAGACACAGGUGCUGCAUGGCUGUCGUCAGCUCGUGUCGUGAGAUGUUGGGUUAAGUCCCGUAACGAGCGCAACCCCUGUCCUUAGUUGCCAUCAGGUAAAGCUGGGAACUCUAAGGAGACUGCCGGUGAUAAGCCGGAGGAAGGUGGGGAUGACGUCAAGUCCUCAUGGCCCUUACGGGUAGGGCUACACACGUGUUACAAUGGGCAGUACAGAGGGAAGCCAAACCGCGAGGUGGAGCGAAUCUCUUGAAAGCUGUUCGUAGUCCGGAUUGGAGUCUGCAACUCGACUCCAUGAAGUUGGAAUCGCUAGUAAUCGCGGAUCAGAACGCCGCGGUGAAUACGUUCCCGGGCCUUGUACACACCGCCCGU